CAAGCUUCGGUUUGGAUUUGACUGAUAAUUUUCUGCAUUUUAGAGAGAAGGCAGCAAUGCUGAGCUUUGCCUUAAGGCAGCUGUUCCUAGUCAAGAUUUCAUGUUGUUCUGAAGCAGGCAUAGCCCUUUCUUCCCACAAUCCCACCGAGACCUCUGGAAAAACAGAAGACAAAAGGAGACUGUGUUCCCUGUCAAGUGACAAUUAAUUCCACCGCCUGCUUAUUUUGAAGACUGGCCGCAAAGUCGAAUUCCUGCACUCUCCAUGGCUGCUCCUGCAGCAGCCACAGGGACAUGGUUCAGGAGGCUCCUCCCCAGUGCAGCUGGGUUGGCAUGAAUCCCUUGUGCCGAAUGUGAAUGAAGCACAGCAGCGAAGUGUCAGUGUGAAAUGAUAUUUCUGCUGUAGCUGCAUGCCCAUGUAAUCUAGUUUCAAAUGUUUUUUUUUUUUUUUUUUUUCCUGAUUGCAGUUUGACCCCUUCCCAUUUUCUUAUUAUAUAAUUUUGGUCUGGAGAUCUGAAGAGGUUAGUUAGCUGUUUUUUGCAAGGCUAUUAUUUGCUUAUAUUUUAGAUAUGCGUUAGACAUAGGUAAAGAUCUGAGUUAGGAUUG
RNAcentral lists this long non-coding RNA (603 nucleotides) under Anas platyrhynchos platyrhynchos (common mallard). RNAcentral's name for it is "lncRNA (ENSAPLG00000020449.1)". Lineage: Eukaryota; Metazoa; Chordata; Aves; Anseriformes; Anatidae. The record is from RNAcentral.